Molecule: ribosomal RNA, 804 nt
Filed under: Panulirus versicolor (painted spiny lobster)
Lineage: Eukaryota; Metazoa; Arthropoda; Malacostraca; Decapoda; Palinuridae
Description: partial 16S rRNA
Source: RNAcentral
AUGCAGACUUGUUUAGAAAUAAAUAGUUUUAAGUGUUUAAUAAUCUGUUAAGAAAAAUAUUUUUAAGUAUGUAGAAUUAAUUAGUAUAGUAAAAUUUAAGGCUUGGACUAUAGUUCAAAAGUACCGUGAGGGAAAGUUUAAAUAAGAAUGAAAAUUUAAUUAUGGAAAAGAAAAUAUUAAAACUUGUACCUUUUGUAUCAGGGGGAAUUUAAAUUUUCUGGAUAAGUUGGAUAUCCCGAAAAAAGAAUAGCUAAAAAAUUAAGAUUGUCUUAGUCGUAAAUAAGUUUUUAAUAGUUUUUUAGUGGUGAAACACUAAUCGAGUCUUUUUAUAUCUGGUUGUUUCAGAAAGAAAUUUAAUUUUGUUCGAAUGUGAUUAAAAUUAAUUCGAGUGAAUAAUUGGAGGGAAAAGCUUCUGGUUAAUAAAUUAAGUAUAGGGUAAUAUGAGUAAAUCUAUUUUAACUAAGCUUAGAAGUAGUUAUGUUAGUAAAGUGUUUUAACUAAAAUUUUUAAAUCGUUGCUAUUUAUGUCACCCUUGCUUUGAUAAGUAUGAAAUUUUAACAGUAAAUGUUUUAUUGUUAGUAAUAAUGAUUUUAUUAGUAGAAAUGUCUUUGUGAAUAAAUUGGUUAAGUAAAAUAAAAAUUAAUUUUUGUAAUUAAGUUAGAGAUGCAUUAAAGGAACUCGGCAAACCGAAUUUCUGCCUGUUUAUCAAAAACAUGUCUUUAUGAAUAAUUUAUAUAAAGUCUAGCCUGCCCAGUGAUGUUUAAGUUUAACGGCCGCGGUAGUAUGACCGUGCUAAGGUAGCAU